RNAcentral lists this ribosomal RNA (264 nucleotides) under uncultured bacterium. Its description in RNAcentral is "partial 16S ribosomal RNA". It matches the Rfam family "Bacterial small subunit ribosomal RNA", at positions 793 to 1055 of the family's 1533-position model. The record is from RNAcentral.
GUCCACGCUGUAAACGAUGCAUGCUAGACGCUGGGGGUUGCCCUUCGGUGUCGCAGCUAACGCUUUAAGCAUGCCGCCUGGGGAGUACGGCCGCAAGGUUAAAACUCAAAGGAAUUGACGGGGGCCCGCACAAGCGGUGGAGCAUGUGGUUUAAUUCGAUGCAACGCGAAGAACCUUACCAGCUCUUGACAUGGGGAGUAUGGGACGGAGAGAUCUGUCCCUUCAGUUCGGCUGGCUCCCACACAGGUGCUGCAUGGCUGUCGU